UGAUUCUGCAAUUGUGAUUACUUACCUGC
Molecule: non-coding RNA, 29 nt
Filed under: Cricetulus griseus (Chinese hamster)
Lineage: Eukaryota; Metazoa; Chordata; Mammalia; Rodentia; Cricetidae
Source: RNAcentral